The sequence is a ribosomal RNA, 437 nucleotides long. It matches the Rfam family "Bacterial small subunit ribosomal RNA", at positions 341 to 792 of the family's 1533-position model.
ACGGAAGGCAGCAGUGGGGAAUAUUGGGCAAUGGGCGAAAGCCUGACCCAGCGACGCCGCGUGAAGGAAGAAGGUCUUCGGAUUGUAAACUUCUUUUAUGAGGGACGAAGGACGUGACGGUACCUCAUGAAUAAGCCACGGCUAACUACGUGCCAGCAGCCGCGAUAAUACGUAGGUGGCAAGCGUUAUCCGGAUUUACUGGGUGUAAAGGGCGCGUAGGCGGGGAUGCAAGUCAGAUGUGAAAUCCAUGGGCUUAACUCAUGGACUGCAUUUGAAACUGUAUCUCUUGAGUGCUGGAGAGGUAGAUGGAAUUCCUUGUGUAGCGGUGAAAUGCGUAGAUAUAAGGAGGAACACCAGUGGCGAAGGCGAUCUACUGGACGAUAACUGACGCUGAGGCGCGAAAGCGUGGGGAGCAAACAGGAUUAGAUACCCUGGUA